GACGAACGCUGGCGGCGUGCCUAAUACAUGCAAGUCGAACGCUGAAGAGAGGAGCUUGCUCUUCUUGGAUGAGUUGCGAACGGGUGAGUAACGCGUAGGUAACCUGCCUUGUAGCGGGGGAUAACUAUUGGAAACGAUAGCUAAUACCGCAUAACAAUGGAUGACACAUGUCAUUUAUUUGAAAGGGGCAAUUGCUCCACUACAAGAUGGACCUGCGUUGUAUUAGCUAGUAGGUGAGGUAAUGGCUCACCUAGGCGACGAUACAUAGCCGACCUGAGAGGGUGAUCGGCCACACUGGGACUGAGACACGGCCCAGACUCCUACGGGAGGCAGCAGUAGGGAAUCUUCGGCAAUGGGGGCAACCCUGACCGAGCAACGCCGCGUGAGUGAAGAAGGUUUUCGGAUCGUAAAGCUCUGUUGUAAGUCAAGAACGGGUGCGAGAGUGGAAAGUUCACACUGUGACGGUAGCUUACCAGAAAGGGACGGCUAACUACGUG
This 497-nucleotide ribosomal RNA is filed under the name uncultured bacterium. RNAcentral describes it as "partial 16S ribosomal RNA". It matches the Rfam family "Bacterial small subunit ribosomal RNA", at positions 28 to 507 of the family's 1533-position model. The record is from RNAcentral.